This 235-nucleotide ribosomal RNA is filed under the name uncultured bacterium. RNAcentral's name for it is "partial 16S ribosomal RNA". It matches the Rfam family "Bacterial small subunit ribosomal RNA", at positions 99 to 334 of the family's 1533-position model. The record is from RNAcentral.
CGCACGGGUGAGUAACACGUAUCCAACCUGCCGUCUACUCUUGGACAGCCUUCUGAAAGGAAGAUUAACGCAAGAUGGCAUCAUGAGUUCACAUGUUCACAUGAUUAAAGGUAUUCCGGUAGACGAUGGGGAUGCGUUCCAUUAGAUAGUAGGCGGGGUAACGGCCCACCUAGUCUUCGAUGGAUAGGGGUUCUGAGAGGAAGGUCCCCCACAUUGGAACUGAGACACGGUCCAA